This 373-nucleotide ribosomal RNA is filed under the name uncultured bacterium. RNAcentral describes it as "bacterial SSU rRNA". It matches the Rfam family "Bacterial small subunit ribosomal RNA", at positions 524 to 898 of the family's 1533-position model. The record is from RNAcentral.
UACGAAGGGUCCAAGCGUUAUCCGGAUUUACUGGGUUUAAAGGGUGCGUAGGUGGUCAGAUCAGUCAGUGGUGAAAUCCUACAGCUCAACUGUAGAACUGCCAUUGAAACUUUCUGACUUGAGUAUAGUUGAGGCGGGUGGAAUGUAUCAUGUAGCGGUGAAAUGCUUAGAUAUGAUACAGAACACCGAUUGUGAAGGCAGCUCGCUAAACUAUUACUGACACUGAGGCACGAAAGCGUGGGUAUCGAACAGGAUUAGAUACCCUGGUAGUCCACGCCCUAAACUAUGAACACUAGACGUGUGCCGCUUAGCGGUACGUGUCCAAGCGAAAGCGUUAAGUGUUCCACCUGGGGAGUACGGCCGCAAGGUUAAA